This 87-nucleotide transfer RNA is filed under the name Elusimicrobiota bacterium. RNAcentral describes it as "tRNA-Leu". It matches the Rfam family "tRNA". Rfam says of the family: Transfer RNA (tRNA) molecules are approximately 80 nucleotides in length. Their secondary structure includes four short double-helical elements and three loops (D, anti-codon, and T loops). Lineage: Bacteria; Pseudomonadati; Elusimicrobiota. The record is from RNAcentral.
GCUGGGGUGGCGGAACGGCAGACGCGCAGGUCUCAGAAGCCUGUCCCCGAAAGGGCGGUGCGGGUUCAAAUCCCGCCCUCAGCACCA